UACGAAGGGGGCGAGCGUUGUUCGGAUUUACUGGGCGUAAAGCGUGCGUAGACGGUCAUGUAAGUCGGGUGUGAAAGCCCCGGGCUCAACCUGGGAAUUGCAUUCGAGACUGCAAGGCUAGGGUGCGGAAGAGGGAAGCGGAAUUUCCGGUGUAGCGGUGAAAUGCGUAGAUAUCGGAAGGAACAUCAGUGGCGAAAGCGGCUUCCUGGUCCAGCACCGACGUUCAGGCACGAAAGCGUGGGGAGCAAACAGG
RNAcentral lists this ribosomal RNA (253 nucleotides) under uncultured bacterium. RNAcentral's name for it is "partial 16S ribosomal RNA". It matches the Rfam family "Bacterial small subunit ribosomal RNA", at positions 524 to 776 of the family's 1533-position model. The record is from RNAcentral.